This is a small nuclear RNA of Sapajus apella (tufted capuchin), 141 nucleotides long. RefSeq annotates it as U4 spliceosomal RNA. The record is from RefSeq and is a predicted model, not a curated record. The transcript has a single exon. Lineage: Eukaryota; Metazoa; Chordata; Mammalia; Primates; Cebidae.
AGCUUUGUGCAGUGGCAGUAUUGUAGCCAAUGAGGUUUAUUCGAGGCGUGAUUAUUGCUAAUUGAAAACUUUUCCCAAUACCCCGCCAUGACGACUUGCAAUAUAGUUGGCCCCGGCAAUUUUUGACAGUCUGUACGGAGA